Molecule: ribosomal RNA, 168 nt
Filed under: uncultured Streptococcus sp.
Lineage: Bacteria; Bacillati; Bacillota; Bacilli; Lactobacillales; Streptococcaceae
Description: partial 16S ribosomal RNA
Rfam family: Bacterial small subunit ribosomal RNA
Source: RNAcentral
UACACACGUGCUACAAUGGUUGGUACAACGAGUUGCGAGUCGGUGACGGCGAGCUAAUCUCUUAAAGCCAAUCUCAGUUCGGAUUGUAGGCUGCAACUCGCCUACAUGAAGUCGGAAUCGCUAGUAAUCGCGGAUCAGCACGCCGCGGUGAAUACGUUCCCGGGCCUU